This 250-nucleotide ribosomal RNA is filed under the name uncultured bacterium. RNAcentral's name for it is "partial 16S ribosomal RNA". It matches the Rfam family "Bacterial small subunit ribosomal RNA", at positions 524 to 773 of the family's 1533-position model. The record is from RNAcentral.
GACAGAGGGUGCUAGCGUUGUUCGGAAUGACUGGGCGUAAAGGGCGCGUAGGCGGGAAUAUUAGUCAAGCGUGAAAGCCCCAGGCUUAACCUGGGAACAGCGCAUGAAACGGUAUACCUAGAGGACGAGAGAGGUAAGCGGAAUUCCUAGUGUAGAGGUGAAAUUCGUAGAUAUUAGGAGGAACACCAGAGGCGAAGGCGGCUUACUGGCUCGUAACUGACGCUGAGGCGCGAAAGCGUGGGGAGCAAAC